AGAGUUUGAUCCUGGCUCAGGAUGAACGCUAGCGACAGGCUUAACACAUGCAAGUCGAGGGGCAGCACAGGUAGCAAUACCGGGUGGCGACCGGCGCACGGGUGAGUAACGCGUAUGCAACUUGCCUAUCAGAGGGGGAUAACCCGGCGAAAGUCGGACUAAUACCGCAUGAAGCAGGGGCCCCGCAUGGGGAUAUUUGCUAAAGAUUCAUCGCUGAUAGAUAGGCAUGCGUUCCAUUAGGCAGUUGGCGGGGUAACGGCCCACCAAACCGACGAUGGAUAGGGGUUCUGAGAGGAAGGUCCCCCACAUUGGAACUGAGACACGGUCCAAACUCCUACGGGAGGCAGCA
Molecule: ribosomal RNA, 349 nt
Filed under: uncultured bacterium
Lineage: Bacteria
Description: bacterial SSU rRNA
Rfam family: Bacterial small subunit ribosomal RNA
Source: RNAcentral